GUUUUUGGUUUUUAAUUUUAAACAAAACAAAAACGAAA
Molecule: small RNA, 38 nt
Filed under: Arabidopsis thaliana (thale cress)
Lineage: Eukaryota; Viridiplantae; Streptophyta; Magnoliopsida; Brassicales; Brassicaceae
Description: ATSL225970
Source: RNAcentral